GAAAAAGGUGAUGUGUCAGCACA
This 23-nucleotide non-coding RNA is filed under the name Arabidopsis thaliana (thale cress). The record is from RNAcentral. Lineage: Eukaryota; Viridiplantae; Streptophyta; Magnoliopsida; Brassicales; Brassicaceae.